GUGGCCCUGAGCAAUGUCCGCUGGUGCCAGGCUGGACAGGACUCAGCUCUGGGUACCUUCCCGGGUGCCGCCUAGCCUCAGAACCCAGAGCCCAGACCCCGCCUGCUGGACAUUAGAACCUGGUUCCCAGAGACAAAUGAACAGCCAGAUGGCCACAGGAUUUCAGAGUGUGCUAACGGGUACCUUCUGCACGCUUCCGGACAGAGUCGGGGAAGGGAUCCAGAGGCAGGAGGAUGGACCCCUGAGGUGGCAGUAGGGGGCCGAGGAUGAACUGAUACGGGACAGUGCAGCUUCAAGGGCCUGGGAAAGACCUGCGCUGUGUCCAGAGGAGUGAGGAGCAUCCUGGACAGAGGAAGCCAAGGAAGUCACUGUGUGCCGACUGUAAACACCACAAGGUCCAAGUCAGAAUGGCGAAGCAGAAGACCCAGGCACCCGGUUGCUGAGCCCACCCCACAUGGCCAGGGCCACCGUACCAGGGAGACCUUGGUCUGGAGACGAGCAUCAGCCUGUGGAAAUGCUGAGACAAGACCACAGGGGACACCUGGGCAGGCACUCAUCAGGGAGGAUGCUUCUACUCAAAGCCACACUGUGCUCACCAGAGCUUGUACCUCAGCCAGCCACCCCUACCUACAGUACUACCCAAAUCUUGGGUCAUCUGAGCGGAAAACCCUGCCUGGGGUCUUUGUCCCCUCAUGCUCUGUGGUCUUCUGUCUAUACCUACACAUUGCCUCUAUAUCCCAGAACCCCCUCUUUCUGCCUUGCUGCACUGUAGGGUCCUACUCAUCCCCCAAAGCUCAUCCUCCUCCGUGAUGAUGCUCCUGGUCCCUAGGUUCCCUUUCCCCCUCCAGCCCCAGAGCCCCUGCCCUGGGCCUUCUACUCUAUGGAAACAGCUCUUCCCAACCUGGCCUGAGAGCAUGAUCAAGCCCUGGCCCUACCUGCACCUCUUCUCUCCAAUGUGCUGUGGGGUGGGGCAAUUGGCUCUGUCUAGGAAUACUAGCAGGAAGUAAUUACGUCUAGAGAAUUCAGCCUCCACCCCAUCAGCAACACACACACACACACACACACACACACACACACACACACACACACACACACACACACCCCUGUGGUCCUGCAAGCCUUCUGGAAUAGCAGCGAACACGGUCUUUGUCCCCACACAGCAUCCUGAUGCAUGCUGGGUCCAGGGGCCACCAGGGCGGCAGGGAGAGGAGCAGAGGUUGACAGAGGUUGCAGCUGGGCUAGAGGAGGCGCUUGUCCCUGGAACCAUGCAAAUGCCUCUCCCUCGUCAGGAACUUGGUGGGCACACAAACCAGCUAGACCUGAGCAUCUGUCCACUUCUUUCCAACCUCCUGUACCCUUCCCUUUGCCUUCAUUCAUUCUGCAAGCAAGUGCUUUUUCUGCACAGGAACUAGGGGACUUAUGGGGUUGGGAGAGGGAUGCAAUGCCCCCAGGGGGUCCUUAGCCCCUGGGCCAACCCACCCAAAUAAGAGCAGAUUCUAUCUAAAACACUACAUGUGCCCCACUGUGGCUUAUAAUGGUUAGGUUUUUUUGUUGGUUUUGUUUUUUGUUUGUUUUUUGUUUUUUUGAGACAGGGUUUCUCUGUGUAGUUUUGGUGCCUGUCUUGAAUCUCACUCUGUAGACCAGGCUGGCCUCAAAUACUCAGAGAUCUACCUGGCUCUGCCUCCUGAGUGCUGGGGUUAAAGGUGUGCGCCACCACUGCCUGGCUGUGACACUUAACUUUAACUGUCAACUUGAAAUCUAGAAUCGCUUAGGGGAGAGUUUCAGUGAGGGAUUGCUUAGAUCAGGUGAGCUUAUAGGUAUGCCUGUGGGAGGGGGGCGUGUCUUGAGUACGUUGAUUGAUAUAGGAAGAGUCAGUCUGAAAGAGGGAGGCACCAUGCCCGGGUUUCGA
Molecule: non-coding RNA, 1909 nt
Organism: Peromyscus maniculatus bairdii (prairie deer mouse)
Lineage: Eukaryota; Metazoa; Chordata; Mammalia; Rodentia; Cricetidae
Source: RefSeq, a predicted model, not a curated record